CACUGACAUUAGAUACCCCUGUAGUCCAGGGUGUAAACGCUGCAGACUUGGUGUUGGAAGCCCUUUGGGGGCAUUCAGUGCCGGAGAGAAGUUGUUAAGUCUGCUACUUGGGAGUACGUCCGCAAGGAUGAAACUUAAAGGAAUUGGCGGGGGAGCACCGCAACGGGAGGAGCGUGCGGUUUAAUUGGAUUCAACACCGUAAAACUCACCAGGGAAGACUGUUACAUGAAGGCCGAGAUGAAGACUCUGCUAGAUUUUCAG
Molecule: ribosomal RNA, 261 nt
Filed under: uncultured archaeon
Lineage: Archaea
Description: partial 16S ribosomal RNA
Rfam family: Archaeal small subunit ribosomal RNA
Source: RNAcentral